Molecule: ribosomal RNA, 296 nt
Filed under: uncultured bacterium
Lineage: Bacteria
Description: partial 16S ribosomal RNA
Rfam family: Bacterial small subunit ribosomal RNA
Source: RNAcentral
CGGAGCCUACGGGGGGCAGCAGUGGGGAAUAUUGCACAAUGGGCGAAAGCCUGAUGCAGCAACGCCGCGUGAAGGAAGACGGUUUUCGGAUUGUAAACUUCUGUUCUUAGUGAAGAAUAAUGACGGUAACUAAGGAGCAAGCCACGGCUAACUACGUGCCAGCAGCCGCGGUAAUACGUAGGGUGCAAGCGUUAUCCGGAUUUACUGGGUGUAAAGGGCGAGUAGACGGCGUUGCAAGUCAGAUGUGAAAGCAUAGGGCUCAACCGUAGGACUGCAUCUGAAACUGUAAGGCUAGA